AUGGAAAAGAGUGCAUCUCAGCCUACAGAAGAUGGCCAACAAUCCAACUCUGCAGCCAAGGUUGUGGCUGAAGUUCUUACUAAGCACACUAGGAAGCCAAUGUUUCUUAAGCAUGUGGGGGUCCAGCACGUGCAUGAGAGAUCCAGUCGUAGCGACCGUGAGGCAGAACAGGAAGCGCAGAAGAGGGGAACAGCCAAGCUUCAGGCCCGUGUUGAAACCUUGACCAACCAGUUAAAGGAAUCAGAAGAAGCAAGGAUCAGGCAAGAAGAAGCAAGGAUCAAGCAAGAAGAGGAGACCAAGAAAAAGCAAGCGGAGAUGGAAGCUAAAUUAGACUUCUUACUAAAUCAGAUUACUCCAAGU
Molecule: ribosomal RNA, 360 nt
Filed under: Triticum aestivum (bread wheat)
Lineage: Eukaryota; Viridiplantae; Streptophyta; Magnoliopsida; Poales; Poaceae
Description: partial small subunit ribosomal RNA
Source: RNAcentral